UACAAAACCGAACUGCCUUAAAGACC
This 26-nucleotide non-coding RNA is filed under the name Macaca fascicularis (crab-eating macaque). RNAcentral also lists the same sequence under 1 other name. The record is from RNAcentral. Lineage: Eukaryota; Metazoa; Chordata; Mammalia; Primates; Cercopithecidae.